CGCACGGGUGAGUAACGCGUAUCCAACCUGGCCCUUAGUAGGGAUAGCCCGGCGAAAGUCGGAUUAAUACCCUAUGUUCUUCGUAGAAGACAUCUGAAAUGAAGCAAAGAUUUGUCGCUAAGGGAUGGGGAUGCGUCUGAUUAGGUAGUCGGCGGGGUAACGGCCCACCGAGCCAUCGAUCAGUAGGGGUUCUGAGAGGAAGGUCCCCCACAUUGGUACUGAGACACGGACCAAACUCCUACGGGAGGCAGCAGUGAGGAAUAUUGGUCAAUGGGCGCGAGCCUGAACCAGACCCAAGUAGCGUGAGGGAAGACUGCCCUAUGGGUUGUAAACCUCUUUUGCCGGGGAAUAAAGUGACGUACGUGUACGUUUUUGUAUGUACCCGGAGAAUAAGGACCGGCUAAUUCCGUGCCAGCAGCAGC
RNAcentral lists this ribosomal RNA (422 nucleotides) under uncultured bacterium. Its description in RNAcentral is "bacterial SSU rRNA". It matches the Rfam family "Bacterial small subunit ribosomal RNA", at positions 99 to 518 of the family's 1533-position model. The record is from RNAcentral.